Mastigocoleus testarum BC008 is the source of this 37-nucleotide non-coding RNA. The record is from Rfam. NCBI's taxonomy places the organism in Bacteria, Bacillati, Cyanobacteriota, Cyanophyceae, Nostocales, Hapalosiphonaceae.
GUUGAAACAUCAUAAAAUCCCUAUCAGGGAUUGAAAC